Molecule: long non-coding RNA, 2211 nt
Organism: Mercenaria mercenaria
Lineage: Eukaryota; Metazoa; Mollusca; Bivalvia; Venerida; Veneridae
Exons: 2
Source: RefSeq, a predicted model, not a curated record
AAUUUCUUACGGAGAGUACCUACUGGUUAUAAAGUAUAAAAACAGGUUGUGUAAGCAAGACAAGAUUGUUGAGAAACGGUGUAAACCCAACACAAAUAAUGGACAUCAAAUGGAUAAGUACAAUAAUCUAUUUACCAGAAGCUGUGUAUAAAAAUCAGAUAUACAACAGAGAGAAAUCAAAGAAUUUUCCAUCUCUAAGUGUUCUUGUUUCAAGUGGUAUAUGUAAGCUUAACAUUGCUGAAAACAUUGCUGGAUCAGGGCUCAAUCUUGAACAUCUUAGGACAAUUUUCAGUCGUGAAGGGGAAGACGGGUUGACUAACAUUUUUAUUUCUAAGAAUAGUGAUGGCCAACCUCGUGUCACAAACACUAAGAGAGUAUUAGAGUCCGUCAUUCCUAAACUGGUAGAAUUGUUUAGCAAAAACAGUUGAGUCAAAAUUAUUUAAUGAUUGUUUUAGAGCAGACUGUCUUGUCGGAAAAAAAGUGAAAUGCGGAGUGUACAUCAGUGACUUCUAUUGCACAUCAGUGACUGUUAUAGUAGUCGCAACUUGACCGCGAUGGUUGACCUUAGGCUGAUUAUUCAUAUCGAUUAUUUCAUUGUAGAAAAAUGGGGUACUUGGAGUAGCCGUCAAUUUUAAAUUUAUGAAUGCAAAGAGCUGAAGCGUUUUACAUGCACUCCUUUUCAAUAAUAGGUUGUAUCUAAUUACGUAUUAUAAUACAAAGGUCAACCAUCGGGGUCAAGUUGCGUCCACUAUAGUAUUAUUAUGAUAAUUGUUUGUAGGUAGCUGUAGAUAACUACCUUACUUUUGAAGUGUAAUACAGAUAAAUUAUUGCUGCGUUCCAUUGACUAGAUCAAAGUAAGCAAGCAAACAAUUUAGUCCAAGUUUUCCACAUGUAAUUAGAUAAUAUGAUAUGUAACUUUUUUUCUUGUAAAGCAAAAUCCAUUACUUAGUUUCAUAUGGAAAAUUGCCUCUGCAACUUUUUGUAAAUCUAAUUGAUAGCUAUGGUGUUUAUCUUAUCAUCCAAGUCUGCAUUGUUAGCUUGUCUGAUAUUUGAAAAACAUCUCUUCAAAGUAUUAUGGUCACUUGUUCGUCUUUGUCGACGUUAAUUAUAUUGUUUGGUUAGCUCUACCUCUCAAAAACUGUAAGAGCUGCAGCUUUGAAACAUUGUACACAUAUUUAUCAUAAUUAGAUGACUGUGUAGGCCAAGAACCAUAACUCUGAUUUGCAAUUUGUCAAAAUUAUGGCCCUUUUUGUACUUAGAAAAUUUGAGUUUCUUCGUCAAUUUUUCUUACUUAGGUCCACCUUUUUUCAAAAACUAUAAGAGCUACAGCUUUGAAACUUUGCACACUUGUUUAUCAUCAUAAGGUUACUAUGUAGGCAAACAACUAUAGCUCUAACCUGCAUUUUUCCAGAACUAUGGCCCUUUUUGUACUUAGAAAUUCUGAACUGUAACUCAUUUCUUACAUAUUGUCCAGCACUUGCAGACGAGCGAUGACAGCCCAGGUGUGCUCUUGCUUUUCAUUUGCAAUGGUCUAAUGUUGUUUUAUAAUUAAAAAAGGAAAGCAUUAUAAAUUUCAAACAAUUUAUUUCUUUAGAACUGUUUCAUGUUAAAACAAUUUUUGGUAGAAAUUACAUUUUUAUCUUCUAUACUGUCAAUUUUGCCCUUCUUUUCACAUGUCACAUGUAUGAAUUAUUUCACUGGUGUCACAAUAUAUGACGGUAAAAGUUACUUGUUUUUUUUAUAUUUAUUUUCUAUAAGAAUGAAGAUAAUUUUGAUGUGCUCACUCCCCAUGUUCAUGACAUUCAAUUAAAAAAAUAUGUCUAAGAAAUGUCUGAUAAAAAGUUUUCUUCUAGGAAAGGCGGCCAUUUUGGAUAGGGGGUAUAGAUAAAUAUGUUAAUAUUUUUCAGUCGGUUUACUUUGAAACUGACCAAAAUCUGGUUUUGAUUACUCAGUAAUAGUCAGAGACUUGAUUAACAAAAAGAAAUAGUGUAAAAAUUAUUUUUAUGAAAUUCUGUAGCUCUUUUUACAAUUAAGGUCCUUGUCGACUGAUGGGUCAAAAUCGGAAGGUUAGCCGAGUUAAUAAAAAUUGUAAUAAUUUUCAAAAUAUACGGUAAAUUUUCUUAAAAUUUUGAAAUCAACUUACCUUUUGGGUACAGAUACUAGAAAUAUAGGGUUUAUGCAGAUUUUCAAUAUUGACUAUUAGUGUGCUAA